Molecule: ribosomal RNA, 253 nt
Filed under: uncultured bacterium
Lineage: Bacteria
Description: partial 16S ribosomal RNA
Rfam family: Bacterial small subunit ribosomal RNA
Source: RNAcentral
UACAGGGGGUGCAAACGUUGCUCGGAAUUAUUGGGCGUAAAGCGCGCGUAGGCGGCUACUUAAGUCGGAUGUGAAAGCCCUUGGCUCAACUGAGGAAGUGCACCCGAAACUGAGUGGCUUGAGUACGAAAGAGGGUCGCGGAAUUCCCGGUGUAGAGGUGAAAUUCGUAGAUAUCGGGAGGAACACCAAUGGCGAAAGCAGCUUUCUGGGACGGUACUGACGCUGAGACGCGAAAGCGUGGGGAGCGAACAGG